ACGUGAACGCUGGCGGCAGGCCUAACACAUGCAAGUCGAACGGCAGCACGGCAGUAGCAAUACGUGUGGGUGGCGAGUGGCGGACGGGUGAGGAAUACAUCGGGAUCUACCUGUUGUGGGGGAUAACGUAGGGAAACUUACGCUAAUACCGCAUAAGAACUGAGGUUGAAAGCGGCGGACCGCAAGGCGUCGCGCGAUUGGAUGAACCGAUGUCCGAUUAGCUAGUUGGCGGGGUAAAGGCCCACCAAGGCGACGAUCGGUAGCUGGUCUGAGAGGACGACCAGCCACACUGGAACUGAGACACGGUCCAGACUCCUACGGGAGGCAGCAGUGGGGAAUUUUGGACAAUGGGCGCAAGCCUGAUCCAGCCAUGCCGCGUGAGUGAAGAAGGCCUUCGGGUUGUAAAGCUCUUUCGGUGGGGAAGAAAUUGCUUCGGUUAAUACCUGGAGUAGAUGACGGUACCCGCAUAAGAAGCACCGGCUAACUACGUG
Molecule: ribosomal RNA, 491 nt
Filed under: uncultured bacterium
Lineage: Bacteria
Description: bacterial SSU rRNA
Rfam family: Bacterial small subunit ribosomal RNA
Source: RNAcentral